GGGUCGUGCUUUGCCGGUGGGACGGCAGACAGAUGGACCCGUCACGUCUGUAUUCUUGCGAGCGCUCCGCCGAGGUCCCGGCGGCGAGGGUG
Regulatory RNA element from Jannaschia sp. CCS1, 92 nucleotides. It matches the Rfam family "Rhodo-rpoB RNA". Lineage: Bacteria; Pseudomonadati; Pseudomonadota; Alphaproteobacteria; Rhodobacterales; Roseobacteraceae. The record is from Rfam.